Molecule: unclassified non-coding RNA, 372 nt
Filed under: uncultured Sphingobacteriaceae bacterium
Lineage: Bacteria; Pseudomonadati; Bacteroidota; Sphingobacteriia; Sphingobacteriales; Sphingobacteriaceae
Description: contains 16S-23S intergenic spacer region
Source: RNAcentral
UCGCGGCUUAUCACCGGCAGUCCCCUUAGAGUGCCCAACUUAAUGAUGGCAACUAAGGGCGAGGGUUGCGCUCGUUGCGGGACUUAACCCAACAUCUCACGACACGAGCUGACGACAGCCAUGCAGCACCUAGUUUCGUGUCCUUGCGGACGCACCCAUCUCUGGAUGCUUCACUAACUUUCAAGCCCGGGUAAGGUUCCUCGCGUAUCAUCGAAUUAAACCACAUGCUCCUCCGCUUGUGCGGGCCCCCGUCAAUUCCUUUGAGUUUCACCCUUGCGGGCGUACUCCCCAGGUGGAAUACUUAACGCUUUCGCUUAGUCGCUAACUGUAUAUCGCUAACAGCGAGUAUUCAUCGUUUAGGGCGUGGACUAC